GACGAACGCUGGCGGCGUGCUUAACACAUGCAAGUCGAACGGAAAGGCCUGCUUUCCCUUGUGGAUUGCGGGUACUCGAGUGGCGAACGGGUGAGUAACACGUGAGUGAUCUGCCCCCAACUUGGGUAUAAGCCUGGGAAACUGGGUCUAAUUCCCGAUAGGACUGCAGGGUGGUGCCUGUGGUGGAAAACGAUUUUCUAGUGGUUGGGGAUGAGCUCGCGGCCUAUCAGCUUGUUGGUGGGGUAAUGGCCUACCAAGGCGGCGACGGGUAGCCGGCCGGAGAGGGUGGACGGCCACAUUGGGACUGAGAUACGGCCCAGACUCCGACGGGAGGCAGCAGUGGGGAAUAUGGCACAAUGGGCGGAAGCCUGAGGCAGCGACGCCGCGGGGGGGAUGACGGCCUUCGGGUGGUAAACUCCUUUCGACCGCGAGGAAGCCACCUGGUUGGAAGGGUGGUGACGGUAGUGGGAGAAGAAGCACCGGCUAACUACGUG
RNAcentral lists this ribosomal RNA (494 nucleotides) under uncultured bacterium. Its description in RNAcentral is "partial 16S ribosomal RNA". It matches the Rfam family "Bacterial small subunit ribosomal RNA", at positions 28 to 507 of the family's 1533-position model. The record is from RNAcentral.